GGAGUACUCCUACGGGAGGCAGCAGUGGGGAAUUUUGGACAAUGGGGGCAACCCUGAUCCAGCCAUGCCGCGUGCGGGAAGAAGGCCUUCGGGUUGUAAACCGCUUUUAGCCGGGAAGAAAAGGCGCACCCUAAUACGGUGCGUUCUUGACGGUACCGGCGGAAUAAGCACCGGCUAACUACGUGCCAGCAGCCGCGGUAAUACGUAGGGUGCGAGCGUUAAUCGGAAUUACUGGGCGUAAAGCGUGCGCAGGCGGUGAGCUGUGUCCGAUGUGAAAGCCCCGGGCUUAACCUGGGAAUGGCAUUGGAAACUGGCUCGCUGGAGUGUGGCAGAGGGGGGUGGAAUUCCGCGUGUAGCAGUGAAAUGCGUAGAGAUGCGGAGGAACACCGAUGGCGAAGGCAGCCCCCUGGGCCAAUACUGACGCUCAUGCACGAAAGCGUGGGGAGCAAACAGGAUUAGAUACCCUGGUAGUCCACGCCGUAAACGAUGGGUACUAGGUGCUUGGGGGAGCGACCCCUUGAGUGCCGGCGCUAACGCAUUAAGUACCCCGCCUGGGGAGUACGGCCGCAAGGCUGAAACUUAAAGGAAUUGACG
This 594-nucleotide ribosomal RNA is filed under the name uncultured beta proteobacterium. Its description in RNAcentral is "bacterial SSU rRNA". It matches the Rfam family "Bacterial small subunit ribosomal RNA", at positions 330 to 915 of the family's 1533-position model. The record is from RNAcentral. Lineage: Bacteria; Pseudomonadati; Pseudomonadota; Betaproteobacteria.